Molecule: long non-coding RNA, 257 nt
Organism: Argiope bruennichi
Lineage: Eukaryota; Metazoa; Arthropoda; Arachnida; Araneae; Araneidae
Exons: 3
Source: RefSeq, a predicted model, not a curated record
AGUCCAUCACCAUCAUGAAGAUCAUCAUCAAGGACACAAUGGAAACUUUUUUGACGAUGCUGCAAGUGUGUUGGAUAACUUCUUCGGAUAGAAAUCAAAAUGUAUUAUCUCAUGAUAAAGCAAAUCAUCAAAUUGAAAUAUAAUUAAGUUUACAUUUUUUCAUUGAUCUCUGAUUGAUCUUUAAUAUAAGUCUUGAUGAAAAUCUUCAAACCGAAAUUUCUCUGUAUUUGGCAAUAAAGCACAAUUCUCUUUGCUUC